Molecule: ribosomal RNA, 524 nt
Filed under: uncultured Hyphomicrobiales bacterium
Lineage: Bacteria; Pseudomonadati; Pseudomonadota; Alphaproteobacteria; Hyphomicrobiales
Description: bacterial SSU rRNA
Rfam family: Bacterial small subunit ribosomal RNA
Source: RNAcentral
UGGGGAAUAUUGGACAAUGGGCGCAAGCCUGAUCCAGCCAUGCCGCGUGAGUGAUGAAGGCCCUAGGGUUGUAAAGCUCUUUCGGCGGGGACGAUAAUGACGGUACCCGCAGAAGAAGCCCCGGCUAACUUCGUGCCAGCAGCCGCGGUAAUACGAAGGGGGCUAGCGUUGCUCGGAAUCACUGGGCGUAAAGGGCGCGUAGGCGGAUCCUUAAGUCAGGGGUGAAAGCCCAGGGCUCAACCCUGGAAUUGCCUUUGAUACUGAGGAUCUCGAGACCGGAAGAGGUGAGUGGAACUGCGAGUGUAGAGGUGAAAUUCGUAGAUAUUCGCAAGAACACCAGUGGCGAAGGCGGCUCACUGGUCCGGUUCUGACGCUGAGGCGCGAAAGCGUGGGGAGCAAACAGGAUUAGAUACCCUGGUAGUCCACGCUGUAAACGAUGGAUGCUAGCCGUUGGCGCGCUUGCGCGUCAGUGGCGCCGUUAACACUUUAAGCAUCCCGCCUGGGGAGUACGGUCGCAAGAUUAA